AAAUUGAUAUAGGAAGCAUUGCACACAAUCUACACAUGCCUACUGUUGGAAGUAGAUCAAAUGACUUCACAAAGCAUGAGACAUGUUUAAAAGUUAUUCUAGAGCAUAAGGAUGUUGAAGAAAUCAAGAAAGUUAGUGCAAAACAACCAAGUGUAGAAAUGAGAUUACUUCAUCAUUUGAUCAGCUGGAUCUUCUUCCCCA
This 201-nucleotide long non-coding RNA is filed under the name Elaeis guineensis (African oil palm). RNAcentral describes it as "long non-coding RNA (EGUI_LNC037298)". The record is from RNAcentral. Lineage: Eukaryota; Viridiplantae; Streptophyta; Magnoliopsida; Arecales; Arecaceae.